Molecule: non-coding RNA, 231 nt
Organism: Pelobates cultripes (western spadefoot toad)
Lineage: Eukaryota; Metazoa; Chordata; Amphibia; Anura; Pelobatidae
Source: the annotation of a GenBank genome assembly
CCAAAAUAUUCCUUUUUUCCUCUCCUCUUCCCUUUCAUUUCAAGCACUUCUCCCACCUACUUUCUCUCAUGCUGUUUUACCUAUUUCUCUUACUGCAUAAGUUAUUUUGUACAUGAUUCCAGGCUACUCCCGGUUCAGUUGAGAGGCUAUUCUAUGCUACCUCUUUCACAUGUACUUUUCCCUGUCUCCUCGUGUGAUGACUAUGUACUCUAUACUUCAUCUUAUUAAUUC